RNAcentral lists this ribosomal RNA (254 nucleotides) under uncultured prokaryote. RNAcentral describes it as "partial 16S ribosomal RNA". It matches the Rfam family "Bacterial small subunit ribosomal RNA", at positions 524 to 777 of the family's 1533-position model. The record is from RNAcentral.
UACGGAGGAUGCAAGCGUUAUCCGGAUUUAUUGGGUUUAAAGGGUGCGCAGGUUGUUUGAUAAGUCAGUGGUGAAAGUCUGUCGCUUAACGGUAGGAUUGCCAUUGAUACUGUUGGACUUGAAUAUGGAUGAGGUAGGCGGAAUGUGUAGUGUAGCGGUGAAAUGCAUAGAUAUUACACAGAACACCGAUUGCGAAGGCAUCUCACAAAGCCGUUAUUGACGCUGAGGCACGAAAGUGUGGGGAUCAAACAGGA